UCUAGCUUCCCAAGUGGAUCUCCAGGAAUUCGGUGGUUGCUUUGAUGAAGUCUGCUCCCUGCAGUUUGGGAAGACAUCAUUAAUAGUACUAAAGAUCUAUAGGAAGAUGAUAUCCAUUGUCUUUAAUUAAACUGGGAAUUUCCACUUGCUGGCAAGAGCCAGUUUAAAUAGUCCUUGAUUCAUGACCACCAUCACGACUGGAAUUUCUGUUGCCAAGCAAAGCAGUUGUUAAGAAGAAUAUGCCGGGGAAGAAAUACAAGGCUCUCACUUUCCCAUUUUAUACAAGUUUAUUCAGAAAUAAUUACUACUGACCUCAAUGUAGCUGCUUCUCAAGCACAUAUAGAUAGGAUUGCAGCCAUAGUAAUUUUACUUAGAUAUCUUUAUUUCUCAAUGGUUCCUCUCUUAGCCUGCAGGCAUACUCCAAACCUCUCUUGUCUUUAAACAGAAUCAAUUACCAUACACCCAUUGAGGCAAACUUGAAGUGAUUUUCUUUUUUUAAAAAAAUGUGGUAGGGGGAGUGAGUUUAAUAAGUUAUUGAUACUCCCUCCAUUUCAAGAAAGCAAUAAAUUUAGAGCCCGUAAGUUCAUGAAUUGUACACAUCUGUACAGCUUCAGCAAAUAAAGAUUGUUACCAUAGCAACGGCCACAUCGUAUGGAACAUGCUUGUGAAAUUCAGAGCUUCAUAUUAAGGGAAUCCGUCUGCCUCCCCCA
This is a non-coding RNA of Pantherophis guttatus, 710 nucleotides long. NCBI's taxonomy places the organism in Eukaryota, Metazoa, Chordata, Lepidosauria, Squamata, Colubridae. The record is from RefSeq and is a predicted model, not a curated record.